CCUGACCUUGGUUCAUGGGCACUCUCUGUUCCCUCAGAUGCCUCAUGAGAACAUGGAAGAUGACAACCCAACACGAUUCUGAGUCUUUCUAGGAACAUGCUAUUUGCUACUGGGCACAGUACUGAGAUCUGUGAGCUGAUUGCACUUGGGAAUGAAAUCCAGCUGCUCCCAUGUUCAGAGAUUUCUGAACUUGCUCAGCAUGAAGAAAACACUAUCUGUCAGGAGUGAGUAAUGUCUUUAGAGGCUGGAGCUUCCAUGAAGGGUCAAAUCCCUCAUGUAUGAAAACUCUUUGAUCCCAGCUGGGGUUUGACUGCCCUGAACACCAAGGGUGGAACUCAGAAGGAGGAUCUGCACUUCUUCCCCAGCUUUUGGAAGGAAAGCCUUGUUCUAUCCUCUCUCUUCAGGUUUUGAAAGACAAUCCUGUUUUGUUUAAGGUCAUGGCUCAGUAUAUUUCUCCCCAGAAUUUAGCCCUCCUUAUAGCAUGGAUCCGGAUUCUGUAAGGGAUUAGAAAUUCAGUCUCACAGCACUACUUUGCCUUUUUUCCCAACAAUUGGCUUACACUGACCUUCCCCAGAGGGCAAACUCCAUUUUUAGGUGUCUAAUUCUCUUGUCAUUAUUUGGCACAGCCUGUGUGCAAACCGUUAUGCCUAGUAAUUAGAUACUGCAGUGCUCAGGGUUGUGACACAAGACUUUCUGAAUCAUUAAUAUUAUGCCUCCACUGUAAUUCUUCGCCUUUCCAAAGGUUCAGAGAAAUGCUGUGGUGUUCAGAGAAAUGCUGUGGUGUGUCACACAUCGGUCUGAAAGCACUACAAAAUCUGCUUUUUCACUAGAGAUUCCUGUGCUGCAAAUAAGGGUUCCUUCUGCUUAUCCACCGUCUGCAGUGAAUUACCCAAAUCAGUGAUUCCUGAGCAUUUUGAAUUAUGCACCAGCUUGCUCUGAACUAUUGUGAACCUUUAGAAUUACAUGGUCAAUUGAGAGCACCAUAAAAGCAAUAUAUUGCUGAUCAUUUAUCUUGGCCCUGCAGGCUGUAUUUUUGGACCCCUAGAUGUAAGCAACAACAAGCAAGUAAAGUUCUUCCUGACCAUCACUCUUGCCACAGCUGAAAGAUUAUUUCCUGAGCCACCCUCUCCAGCCUGACCUCAACAUCCCCAGCAGCAUCAAAUAAUAACCUACCAGGCUCUACCUGUCUCCGAGUAUAACUGUAUUUGAUGUAUUUAUCUUUCUCUAUGUCAAAAUCCAUUGAGAACUCUAACCAAUACCUGGCAGUUCUCAUGCUUAAUUUUGCCUGUGCUGUUCACUGAAAAUUUUGUCCUUGGAUUUUAAAUUUCUACUCAACCUUUAGGUUCAAAUUGUGUUUCUUUUAUCUCUAGAACAGGCACGGUUUAAUGAGGAAUGCCAAACCCUCUCCUUUUUAUGCAUUUUCAAUUAGUUUUGCUUCUUACCCAGUAUAAAUCACUUUCUAGAGACCUUUAUAUAGCAGGUCUUCUGUAGUUUUCUGCUGUCAGGUUUGUCGUUUUCAGUGUGUUGAGCACUGUUCUCCUUCCUUUCUUCGUUGACUUUCUUAUUGCAGGUACUUUCUUAUUUGUGCCCACAUUAUAACUGCACAGCUUUGGCCCUUGAGCAGGAAUCCUGGGAGAAGAGAGCUAAUGCUGCACUCCUGACACAAACAGAUCACACACCUCAAAGCACCACUCCUCCAUGAACCGCCUGACAACUGCCCCCUGGGUUCCCACUGAUUUUCACCUCCGUACAGA
This is a long non-coding RNA of Passer domesticus (house sparrow), 1754 nucleotides long. RefSeq lists it as uncharacterized. The record is from RefSeq and is a predicted model, not a curated record. The transcript has 4 exons. NCBI's taxonomy places the organism in Eukaryota, Metazoa, Chordata, Aves, Passeriformes, Passeridae.